RNAcentral lists this ribosomal RNA (329 nucleotides) under uncultured bacterium. Its description in RNAcentral is "bacterial SSU rRNA". It matches the Rfam family "Bacterial small subunit ribosomal RNA", at positions 8 to 334 of the family's 1533-position model. The record is from RNAcentral.
AGAGUUUGAUCCUGGCUCAGGACGAACGCUGGCGGCGUGCUUAACACAUGCAAGUCGAACGCUGAAGCCUAGCUUGCUGGGUGGAUGAGUGGCGAACGGGUGAGUAACACGUGAGUAACCUGCCCCCUUCUUUGGGAUAACGCCCGGAAACGGGUGCUAAUACUGGAUAUUCACUGAUCUUCGCAUGGGGGUUGGUGGAAAGGUUUUUUCUGGUGGGGGAUGGGCUCGCGGCCUAUCAGCUUGUUGGUGGGGUGAUGGCCUACCAAGGCUUUGACGGGUAGCCGGCCUGAGAGGGUGACCGGUCACAUUGGGACUGAGAUACGGCCCAG